RNAcentral lists this ribosomal RNA (730 nucleotides) under uncultured Actinomycetes bacterium. Its description in RNAcentral is "bacterial SSU rRNA". It matches the Rfam family "Bacterial small subunit ribosomal RNA", at positions 73 to 815 of the family's 1533-position model. Lineage: Bacteria; Bacillati; Actinomycetota; Actinomycetes. The record is from RNAcentral.
GAGGUGCUUGCACUUCGUGGAAACCGGCGAACGGGUGAGUAACACGUGAGAAACCCACCCUUCACACCGGGAUAACCCAAGGAAACUUGGGCUAAUACCGGAUACCCCACAUCUUUCGCAUGAUUGAUGUUGGAAAGUUCAGACGGUGAAGGACGGUCUCGCGACCUAUCAGGUAGUUGGUGAGGUAACGGCUCACCAAGCCGACGACGGGUAGCUGGAGUGAGAGCUCGAUCAGCCACACUGGGACUGAGACACGGCCCAGACUCCUACGGGAGGCAGCAGUAGAGAAUCUUGCACAAUGAGCGAAAGCUUGAUGCAGCCACGCCGCGUGAGGGACGAAGGCCUUCGGGUCGUAAACCUCUUUCAGCAGGGAAGAAGCGAAAGUGACGGUACCUGCACAAGAAGCUCCGGCUAACUACGUGCCAGCAGCCGCGGUAAUACGUAGGGAGCAAGCGUUGUCCGGAAUCAUUGGGCGUAAAGAGCGUGUAGGCGGUCCAGUAAGUCGGAUGUGAAAUCCAAGGGCUCAACCCUUGAACUGCACCCGAAACUGUUGGACUUGAGGAAGGUAGAGGAGAGUGGAAUUUCUGGUGUAGCGGUGGAAUGCGCAGAUAUCAGAAGGAACACCGAUGGCGAAGGCAGCUCUCUGGGCCUUACCUGACGCUGAGACGCGAAAGCAUGGGUAGCAAACAGGAUUAGAUACCCUGGUAGUCCAUGCCGUAAACGAUGGGUG